RNAcentral lists this ribosomal RNA (240 nucleotides) under uncultured bacterium. RNAcentral's name for it is "partial 16S ribosomal RNA". It matches the Rfam family "Bacterial small subunit ribosomal RNA", at positions 94 to 334 of the family's 1533-position model. The record is from RNAcentral.
CGUGGCGGACGGGUGAGUAACGCGUGGGUAACCUGCCUCAUACAGGGGGAUAACGGUUAGAAAUGACUGCUAAUACCGCAUAAGCGCACAGUACCGCAUGGUACGUUGUGAAAAACUCCGGUGGUAUGAGAUGGACCCGCGUCUGAUUAGCUAGUUGGUGGGGUAACGGCCCACCAAGGCGACGAUCAGUAGCCGACCUGAGAGGGUGACCGGCCACAUUGGGACUGAGACACGGCCCAG